GCUGCAGAGCUCAGGGCCCUCACUGAGCAUGGGCAGCAGCACCCAAACCAGGGUUUAGAGGAUGCACUGACUGGCAAAGCUGCAGCAGGAGAUCACUUCCUAAGCAUUCAAAUUGAUUUGGACUGUGCUGCAAGAAUAUUAAUGAUGACAGGGGAAAGGUCAUUAAUGAAGCAGCUGAAGAUGGCAGACUGAGGAACUGUAGAGAUGUCCAGGAAGCUAAGAUGAUUGACAUCAAACAACCACAAAUAUCUUCCUUUGAGAUAGAUAUGACACUAAACAGUGAACAGUUUUCCCUAUGAUUCCAGUUUUGUUCGAGCUUCAUAAUAAUGUACUCAAUCAAAUUCUGUCCAGAUGUACUAGAAAUAUAGUAGCAGCAGUAGGCUAAUUCAGCCCCUUUAAAUCUGCUGUGCCAUUCAAUAUGAUCAUGGUUGAUCAUCAAACUCAAUAAACUGUUCCUGAUCUUUCCCAUAUUUUUUGAUUCCUUUAGCUGUAUUCAGUU
This is a non-coding RNA of Chiloscyllium plagiosum (whitespotted bambooshark), 499 nucleotides long. Lineage: Eukaryota; Metazoa; Chordata; Chondrichthyes; Orectolobiformes; Hemiscylliidae. The record is from RefSeq and is a predicted model, not a curated record.